GACUUACUCCCUCCGUCCGAAAAUACUUGUCAUCAAAAUGGAUAAAAAGAGAUGUAUCUAGAACCAAAAUACGUCUAGAUACAUCCCUUUUUAUCCAGACAAGUAAUUCCGGACGGAGGGAAUACAAG
Non-coding RNA from Triticum aestivum (bread wheat), 128 nucleotides. The record is from Rfam. Lineage: Eukaryota; Viridiplantae; Streptophyta; Magnoliopsida; Poales; Poaceae.